Molecule: long non-coding RNA, 717 nt
Filed under: Oryctolagus cuniculus (rabbit)
Lineage: Eukaryota; Metazoa; Chordata; Mammalia; Lagomorpha; Leporidae
Description: lncRNA (ENSOCUG00000039181.1)
Source: RNAcentral
GAAAAGUGGUAUUAUCAUUUUAGAUAAAAAAAUGGAAGCUCAAAAAACUUUCAUGAGUUGCCCUUAAUGAGGAAAAUCUGAAUAUGGAAGUCAAAGAUAAGAACUCUGGUUCUAAAUCCCAUCCUGUUCCUACAUGGAUGAUGCUUCCAGAUAUUAAUGGAGGAAGCUAUCAAUAAAUAGAUGGAAUAUUUUCUUGUGCUUGUUUGUAAUCUGAGGGCCUGACUUCUGUAAUCAGUAUCCAUUGUUUUACAGUGUCCUAUUUAAAUUUUAUUUCAGUGUUAACUUAAUGACUCUUUGUGGGACUAUUGGUUUUGAAAGACCAAUAGCUUUCUUCAUAUCCCUGCAACUGAGGUGAAACACUGAAUAACAGCAAGUAACAGCAAACUCUUUGGUAGCACUUGCCAUGUGGUGUUUUCAUUUCAUGACUCUCUAAGGAUGAUCUAUACCAUUCCCAUUUUACAGAUCAGAAAACCGAGGCACAGAGGACUUGCCCAUGGUACACAGAAGCCAUUACUUCAUAACUUCCCCUUCAGUGCGAUGCUGCUGUUCUUGGUGAUGGCAGGAAACACAAUGGCGGUAUCCACCUACCAGCUGGAUGAGACCGUUUUCCUCUCUGCAUGUCUGUAUGAAGCUUUGUUGAUCGCCCCAGAAGAAUUAUACUGUCUCUUAAAAAUGAUGUUGAAAGAUUUUCUUGCCUAUAGUAUUAACCUGGAAUAA